RNAcentral lists this non-coding RNA (172 nucleotides) under Oryza rufipogon (brownbeard rice). RNAcentral describes it as "Bacterial large subunit ribosomal RNA". It matches the Rfam family "Bacterial large subunit ribosomal RNA", at positions 865 to 1028 of the family's 2925-position model. Lineage: Eukaryota; Viridiplantae; Streptophyta; Magnoliopsida; Poales; Poaceae. The record is from Rfam by way of RNAcentral. RNAcentral also lists the same sequence under 1 other name.
UCUAUUUCAGUAGAGCGUAUGAUGUCGAUGGCCCGAGGUAGAGCACUCAAUGGGCUAGGGUGGCCCCCAUUUCGCUUUACCAACCCCAGGGAAACUCCGAAUACAGGCCGUCAUCCUUAGUACAGACAGACUGAUUGGGUGCUAAGAUCCAAAGUCGAGAGGGAAACAGCCC